GGUUUUUGAGUGUUGGCUUCACCCGGCUCGUUACCGGACUCAACCGUGUAAAGAUGGGUCGGGUUGUCGUCGUCGGGUUUGUUUCUUUGCUCAUACUCCUGACCAGCUCCGUCUCGUAAGCUCUACUGAUACUUACGACGGUUCACCUUGUGGUAAAACGCUGACGUUUUGGUCUUCACCUGGUUCUGCCUCACCUCCGGUAAGUCCCCGUGCCGAGUCUUGCUCUUCCCCUCCGGUCUCGCCGAUGGCUCAGUCGCUAAGCCGUUCUCUCGGUUCGGCUUCCAUUAACGAGAUGGUGACCUCUUUAAGGAACUUACAGCUAGGAAAAGGCAAGUCCUGGAAAACCCAAGUUGGCUGUUGCU
RNAcentral lists this long non-coding RNA (362 nucleotides) under Gossypium barbadense (sea-island cotton). RNAcentral describes it as "long non-coding RNA (GBAR_LNC017501)". The record is from RNAcentral. Lineage: Eukaryota; Viridiplantae; Streptophyta; Magnoliopsida; Malvales; Malvaceae.